GAUGAAGAACGUAGCGAAAUGCGAUAAGUAGUGUGAAUUGCAGAAUUCAGUGAAUCAUCGAAUCUUUGAACGCACAUUGCGCCCCUUGGUAUCCCGAGGGGCAUGCCUGUUCGAGCGUCAUUUCACCACUCAAGCCUGGCUUGGUGUUGGGCGACGUCCCCUUUGGGGACGCGCCUCGAAACGCUCGGCGGCGUGGCACCGGCUUUAAGCGUAGCAGGAUCUUUCGCUUUGGAAGUCGGGGCCCCGUCUGCCGGAAGACCUACUCGCAAGGUUGACCUCGGAUCAGGCAGGGAUACCCGCUGAACUUAAGCAUAUCAAUAAGCGGAGGA
RNAcentral lists this unclassified non-coding RNA (329 nucleotides) under soil metagenome. Its description in RNAcentral is "partial contains 5.8S ribosomal RNA, internal transcribed spacer 2, and large subunit ribosomal RNA". The stretch from base 1 to 120 matches the Rfam family "5.8S ribosomal RNA", at positions 35 to 154 of the family's 154-position model. The record is from RNAcentral.